Ictidomys tridecemlineatus (thirteen-lined ground squirrel) is the source of this 71-nucleotide non-coding RNA. The record is from Rfam. Lineage: Eukaryota; Metazoa; Chordata; Mammalia; Rodentia; Sciuridae.
AGGGAUAAAGCUCAGUGGUAGAGUGCUUACUUAAUAUACAAGAGACCUGGGUUCAAUUCCUGGUCUCCCAC